This 490-nucleotide ribosomal RNA is filed under the name uncultured bacterium. RNAcentral describes it as "partial 16S ribosomal RNA". It matches the Rfam family "Bacterial small subunit ribosomal RNA", at positions 29 to 507 of the family's 1533-position model. The record is from RNAcentral.
AGUGAACGCUGGCGGCAGGCCUAACACAUGCAAGUCGAACGGCAGCACAAGAGAGCUUGCUCUCUGGGUGGCGAGUGGCGGACGGGUGAGGAAUGCAUCGGAAUCUGCCCAUUUGUGGGGGAUAACCUCGGGAAACCGGGACUAAUACCGCAUACGACCUACGGGUGAAAGCAGGGGAUCCUCGGACCUUGCGCAGAUGGAUGAGCCGAUGCCGGAUUAGCUAGUUGGAGGGGUAAAGGCCCACCAAGGCGACGAUCCGUAGCUGGUCUGAGAGGAUGAUCAGCCACACUGGGACUGAGACACGGUCCAGACUCCUACGGGAGGCAGCAGUGGGGAAUAUUGGACAAUGGGCGCAAGCCUGAUCCAGCCAUGCCGCGUGUGUGAAGAAGGCCUUCGGGUUGUAAAGCACUUUUGUUGGGAAAGAAAAGCAGCCGGUUAAUACCCGGUUGUCAUGACGGUACCCAAAGAAUAAGCACCGGCUAACUUCGUG